RNAcentral lists this ribosomal RNA (442 nucleotides) under uncultured bacterium. Its description in RNAcentral is "partial 16S ribosomal RNA". It matches the Rfam family "Bacterial small subunit ribosomal RNA", at positions 338 to 795 of the family's 1533-position model. The record is from RNAcentral.
CCUACGGGUGGCUGCAGUAGGGAAUCUUUCACAAUGGGCGCAAGCCUGAUGGAGCAACGCCGCGUGCAGGAUGAAGGCCUUCGGGUUGUAAACUGCUUUUAUAAGCGAGAAAUAUGAUGGUAACUUAUUAAUAUGGAUCGGCUAACUACGUGCCAGCAGCCGCGGUCAUACGUAGGAUCCGAGCAUUAUCUGGGGUGACUGGGUGUAAAGGGUUGCGUAGGUGGGAUAAUAAGUAGCUAGUGAAAUCUGGUUGGCCAACCAUUCAGACUAUUAGCUAAACUGUUAAGCUCGAGACCGUGAGGGGUAACUGGAAUUUCUAGUGUAGGAGUGAAAUCCGUAGAUAUUAGAAGGAACACCAAUAGCGUAGGCAGGUUACUGGGACGGUUCUGACACUAAGGCACGAAAGCGUAGGGAGCAAACGGGAUUAGAUACCCGAGUAGUC